AGAGUUUGAUCCUGGCUCAGGAUGAACGCUGGCGGCGUGCUUAACACAUGCAAGUCGAACGAGCCUUCGGGCUAGUGGCGGACGGGUGAGUAACGCGUGGGAAUCUGCCCUCAGGAGGGGGAUAACGGCCGGAAACGGCCGCUAAUACCCCAUAUGCCGAGAGGUGAAAUGAAUUUCGCCUGAGGAUGAGCCCGCGUCUGAUUAGCUAGUUGGUGGGGUAAUGGCCCACCAAGGCGACGAUCAGUAGCUGGUCUGAGAGGAUGAUCAGCCACACUGGGACUGAGACACGGCCCAGACUCCUACGGGAGGCAGCAGUGGGGAAUUUUCCGCAAUGGGCGAAAGCCUGACGGAGCAACGCCGCGUGAGGGAUGAAGGCCUCUGGGCUGUAAACCUCUUUUCUCAAGGAAGAAGACAUGACGGUACUUGAGGAAUAAGCCACGGCUAAUUCCGUGCCAGCAGCCGCGGUAAUACGGGAGUGGCAAGCGUUAUCCGGAAUUAUUGGGCGUAAAGCGUCCGCAGGCGGCCUUGUAAGUCUGUCGUUAAAGCGUGGAGCUUAACUCCAUUUAAGCGAUGGAAACUACAAGGCUUGAGUGUGGUAGGGGCAGAGGGAAUUCCCGGUGUAGCGGUGAAAUGCGUAGAUAUCGGGAAGAACACCAGUGGCGAAGGCGCUCUGCUGGGCCAUAACUGACGCUCAUGGACGAAAGCCAGGGGAGCGAAAGGGAUUAGAUACCCCUGUAGUCCUGGCCGUAAACGAUGAACACUAGGUGUCGGGGGAAUCGACCCCCUCGGUGUCGUAGCUAACGCGUUAAGUGUUCCGCCUGGGGAGUACGCACGCAAGUGUGAAACUCAAAGGAAUUGACGGGGGCCCGCACAAGCGGUGGAGUAUGUGGUUUAAUUCGAUGCAACGCGAAGAACCUUACCAGGGUUUGACAUCCUGCGAAUCCCUUGGAAACGAGGGAGUGCCUUCGGGAGCGCAGAGACAGGUGGUGCAUGGCUGUCGUCAGCUCGUGUCGUGAGAUGUUGGGUUAAGUCCCGCAACGAGCGCAACCCACGUCUUUAGUUGCCAGCAUUCAGUUGGGCACUCUAGAGAGACCGCCGGUGAUAAACCGGAGGAAGGUGUGGAUGACGUCAAGUCAUCAUGCCCCUUACAUCCUGGGCUACACACGUACUACAAUGCUACGGACAAAGGGUUGCAAGCUCGCGAGAGUUAGCUAAUCCCAUAAACCGUGGCUCAGUUCAGAUCGUAGGCUGCAACUCGCCUACGUGAAGGAGGAAUCGCUAGUAAUCGCAGGUCAGCAUACUGCGGUGAAUACGUUCCCGGGCCUUGUACACACCGCCCGUCACACCAUGGAAGUUGGCCAUGCCCGAAGUCGUUACUCCAACCCUUGUGGAGGAGGACGCCGAAGGUGGGGCUGAUGACUGGGGUGAAGUCGUAACAAGGUAGCCGUACCGGAAGGUGCGGCUGGAUCACCUCCU
This 1476-nucleotide ribosomal RNA is filed under the name Cyanobium sp. Suigetsu-CR3. RNAcentral's name for it is "16S ribosomal RNA". It matches the Rfam family "Bacterial small subunit ribosomal RNA". Lineage: Bacteria; Bacillati; Cyanobacteriota; Cyanophyceae; Synechococcales; Prochlorococcaceae. RNAcentral also lists the same sequence under 3 other names. The record is from RNAcentral.